This is a non-coding RNA of Odocoileus virginianus texanus, 82 nucleotides long. The record is from the annotation of a RefSeq genome assembly. Lineage: Eukaryota; Metazoa; Chordata; Mammalia; Artiodactyla; Cervidae.
GCUGGAAUAGCUCAGUUGGGAGAGCGGGGAGAGCGUUAGACUGAAGAUCUAAAGGUCCCUGGUUUGAUCCCGGGUUCCAGCA